RNAcentral lists this transfer RNA (77 nucleotides) under Halopelagius inordinatus. Its description in RNAcentral is "tRNA_Pro_GGG". It matches the Rfam family "tRNA". From Rfam's summary of the family: Transfer RNA (tRNA) molecules are approximately 80 nucleotides in length. Their secondary structure includes four short double-helical elements and three loops (D, anti-codon, and T loops). Further hydrogen bonds mediate the characteristic L-shaped molecular structure. tRNAs have two regions of fundamental functional importance: the anti-codon, which is responsible for specific mRNA codon recognition, and the 3' end, to which the tRNAs corresponding amino acid is attached (by aminoacyl-tRNA synthetases). tRNAs cope with the degeneracy of the genetic code in two manners: having more than one tRNA (with a specific anti-codon) for a particular amino acid; and 'wobble' base-pairing, i.e. permitting non-standard base-pairing at the 3rd anti-codon position. Lineage: Archaea; Methanobacteriati; Methanobacteriota; Halobacteria; Halobacteriales; Haloferacaceae. The record is from RNAcentral.
GGAAGGGUAGCUCAGUGGUAGAGCGACUUCCGGGGGAUCGGAGAUGGCUUCGCGUGGUUCAAUUCCCGCCCCUUCCA